This 273-nucleotide ribosomal RNA is filed under the name uncultured bacterium. RNAcentral describes it as "partial 16S ribosomal RNA". It matches the Rfam family "Bacterial small subunit ribosomal RNA", at positions 524 to 796 of the family's 1533-position model. The record is from RNAcentral.
UACGAAGGGUGCAAGCGUUACUCGGAAUUACUGGGCGUAAAGCGUGCGUAGGUGGUUCGUUAAGUCUGAUGUGAAAGCCCUGGGCUCAACCUGGGAAUUGCACUGGAUACUGGCGGGCUAGAGUGCGGUAGAGGAUGGCGGAAUUCCCGGUGUAGCAGUGAAAUGCGUAGAGAUCGGGAGGAACAUCUGUGGCGAAGGCGGCCAUCUGGACCAGCACUGACACUGAGGCACGAAAGCGUGGGGAGCAAACAGGAUUAGAAACCCCCGUAGUCC